UCUUCGGAGUUAAAGGAUUGCAAACGUAUUAAGAUAUGCAGCAAGUGGGAAAUGUGGAUCCUGGACCGACGGUUGGUACACAGUUGACGCGGCAGCCGGUUCAUCGAUCCACGCUACUUUGGGAGACGCCAGCCGGUCAGUGCCAGGCGUGUUAAACUGCAGACGCCGAAGUUGCAAGUUACCCGAGCAUGGGCUUGACCCACGGAUUGCUCGGUACAUAAAUGAGGCGGGUUUUGAAGGGUUAUUCAAGGUUCCAAACAUGGAAGUGGAUCAUGCGUUGAUCACAGCUCUAGUUGAGCGUUGGCGUCCGGAGACGCACACAUUCCACCUACCGCAUGGAGAGAUGAGCAUCACCUUACAAGAUAUUGAGGUGAUGCUAGGGGUUCCUGUUGAUGGGUUGCCAAUUACUGGGGCUGUGAAGAUGGAGUGGCCUACAUUGUGUCUUGAGUUAUUGGGUCAUCGUCCACCAGACCCGAUACCGCAUCCGCAUGAGAACACCUUUAUCCUUGCU
Quercus lobata is the source of this 511-nucleotide long non-coding RNA. RefSeq lists it as uncharacterized. Lineage: Eukaryota; Viridiplantae; Streptophyta; Magnoliopsida; Fagales; Fagaceae. The record is from RefSeq and is a predicted model, not a curated record. The transcript is spliced from 3 exons.